GGGCACUACAUCAGUUAUGUCCAUGACGGAUCUGAAUGGCUUAAAUGCAGUGACAACUCCAUCAAAAAAUCCAGCUGGACAAAGGCGUCAAAAAAAAUGGGAAAGAAUGGCUACAUGCUCUUCUACGUGAAGAGUUGAGCGGCGACUGGUUGAGUGUUGGAGAGGAAAGGCUGGAAGACCGACUGGAAGUUUUCACUGUCCUGCUGUAAAAGUAUGGGUCAGUUAAUUAAACAUCUGCCCUCUGCUGGCCAGGUAUUGAACACUCAGCUAAAAUAUUCUGAAAGACAAGGGUGCCGAGAUAAGACAGUGAUACAAAUAAAAGACUAAAACAACAGAAAAAGAGCAAGAGGAAGAAUAAAGAUGAGCCAGGAAAGAGAGACUGGACGAUGGUGCCGUUGGGAAGGAGCAACAUUUUAGUGAAGAUCAUUCUGUGGCUGACAGUCUCUGUCUCUGAUUUCAAAUGUACUUUGAAAUCACACAAUAAAACUAAACAAUGUUAGAAAAUAACAAUAUAAUAAUGACAUUUGUGUAUAGAUAGGUACAAGAAAUGAUGAUAUGAUUACAAUAAAAUUGUGAUGAAUUAAUAAAGAAAGAAUGAAUAAAUAAAAAGAAAGAAAAUGAAACAUAAUUGU
Molecule: long non-coding RNA, 632 nt
Organism: Puntigrus tetrazona (Sumatra barb)
Lineage: Eukaryota; Metazoa; Chordata; Actinopteri; Cypriniformes; Cyprinidae
Exons: 4
Source: RefSeq, a predicted model, not a curated record